UGUGGACUAGAUGUCCAGUCUGUCUCAGGGGCUGGGUGUCUCUUUUUAGAGGAAAAAAAGCUGAGUUUUAAGCAUGACGAGACAAAGACACUGACUGAAAACGGACAAAUAAUGAUUUAAAAAAAACUUUCACAACUCACCAUGGCAAUACGGGAGCUCAAAGUUUGCCUUUUAGGGGACACUGGAGUAGGGAAGUCCAGCAUUGUUUGCAGAUUUGUUCAGGAUCACUUUGACCACAACAUCAGUCCCACAAUAGGAGCAUCAUUCCUUACCAAAACAGUGCCAUCUGGGAAUGAACUACAUAAAUUUCUGAUCUGGGAUACAGCCGGACAGGAAAGGGUGAGUCCAC
Molecule: non-coding RNA, 349 nt
Organism: Plectropomus leopardus (leopard coralgrouper)
Lineage: Eukaryota; Metazoa; Chordata; Actinopteri; Perciformes; Serranidae
Source: RefSeq, a predicted model, not a curated record